AGCUUAACGAGGCGAACCGGGGGAACUGAAACAUCUAAGUACCCCGAGGAAAAGAAAUCAACCGAGAUUCCCCCAGUAGCGGCGAGCGAACGGGGAGCAGCCCAGAGCCUGAAUCAGCAUGUGUGUUAGUGGAACGGUCUGGAAAGGCCGGCGAUACAGGGUGACAGCCCCGUACACAAAAGUGCAUGUGUUGUGAGCUCGAUGAGUAGGGCGGGACACGUGGUAUCCUGUCUGAAUAUGGGGGGACCAUCCUCCAAGGCUAAAUACUCCUGACUGACCGAUAGUGAACCAGUACCGUGAGGGAAAGGCGAAAAGAACCCCGGCGAGGGGAGUGAAAAAGAACCUGAAACCGUGUACGUACAAGCAGUGGGAGCCUCUUUUAUGGGGUGACUGCGUACCUUUUGUAUAAUGGGUCAGCGACUUAUAUUCUGUAGCAAGGUUAACCGAAUAGGGGAGCCGAAGGGAAACCGAGUCUUAACUGGGCGUUAAGUUGCAGGGUAUAGACCCGAAACCCGGUGAUCUAGCCAUGGGCAGGUUGAAGGUUGGGUAACACUAACUGGAGGACCGAACCGACUAAUGUUGAAAAAUUAGCGGAUGACUUGUGGCUGGGGGUGAAAGGCCAAUCAAACCGGGAGAUAGCUGGUUCUCCCCGAAAGCUAUUUAGGUAGCGCCUCGUGAACUCAUCUUCGGGGGUAGAGCACUGUUUCGGCUAGGGGGUCAUCCCGACUUACCAACCCGAUGCAAACUGCGAAUACCGAAGAAUGUUAUCACGGGAGACACACGGCGGGUGCUAACGUCCGUCGUGAAGAGGGAAACAACCCAGACCGCCAGCUAAGGUCCCAAAGUCAUGGUUAAGUGGGAAACGAUGUGGGAAGGCUCAGACAGCCAGGAUGUUGGCUUAGAAGCAGCCAUCAUUUAAAGAAAGCGUAAUAGCUCACUGGUCGAGUCGGCCUGCGCGGAAGAUGUAACGGGGCUAAACCAUGCACC
Molecule: ribosomal RNA, 987 nt
Filed under: Citrobacter farmeri
Lineage: Bacteria; Pseudomonadati; Pseudomonadota; Gammaproteobacteria; Enterobacterales; Enterobacteriaceae
Description: partial 23S ribosomal RNA
Rfam family: Bacterial large subunit ribosomal RNA
Source: RNAcentral